This 491-nucleotide ribosomal RNA is filed under the name uncultured bacterium. RNAcentral's name for it is "partial 16S ribosomal RNA". It matches the Rfam family "Bacterial small subunit ribosomal RNA", at positions 29 to 506 of the family's 1533-position model. The record is from RNAcentral.
AGUAAACGCUGGCGGUAGGCCUAACACAUGCAAGUCGAACGGCAGCACAGUAAGAGCUUGCUCUUACGGGUGGCGAGUGGCGGACGGGUGAGGAAUACAUCGGAAUCUACUUUUUCGUGGGGGAUAACGUAGGGAAACUUACGCUAAUACCGCAUACGACCUACGGGUGAAAGCAGGGGAUCUUCGGACCUUGCGCGAUUGAAUGAGCCGAUGUCGGAUUAGCUAGUUGGCGGGGUAAAGGCCCACCAAGGCGACGAUCCGUAGCUGGUCUGAGAGGAUGAUCGCCCAAAUUGGAACUGAUACACGGUCCAGACCCCAACGGGAGGCACGAGGGGGAAAAUUGGGAAACGGGGGCAAAGCCUAAACCAGCCCCCCCGGGGGGGGAAAAAAGGCCUCGGGGUUGUAAAGCCCUUUUUUUGGGAAAAAAAGGACGGAGUUUAACUCCCCGCUUUUCUGACGGAACCCAAAAAAAAAGCCCCGGCAAACUUCGU